Molecule: ribosomal RNA, 253 nt
Filed under: uncultured bacterium
Lineage: Bacteria
Description: partial 16S ribosomal RNA
Rfam family: Bacterial small subunit ribosomal RNA
Source: RNAcentral
UACGGGGGGGGCAAGCGUUGUUCGGAAUUACUGGGCGUAAAGGGCUCGUAGGCGGCCAACUAAGUCAGACGUGAAAUCCCUCGGCUUAACUGGGGAACUGCGUCUGAUACUGGAUGGCUGGAGGUUGGGAGAGGGAUGCGGAAUUCCAGGUGUAGCGGUGAAAUGCGUAGAUAUCGGGAGGAACACCUGUGGCGAAGGCGGCCAUCUGGACGUUCACUGACGCUGAGACGCGAAAGCGUGGGUAGCAAACAGG